Camellia sinensis is the source of this 1607-nucleotide non-coding RNA. The record is from RefSeq and is a predicted model, not a curated record. Lineage: Eukaryota; Viridiplantae; Streptophyta; Magnoliopsida; Ericales; Theaceae.
GGUAAGAAAAUAAGUAAAACAUAAAGAGGUAAAGUGUAAUUUAUCAAAAAAAAUAAAAAUAAAAUAUUAGUACUACGAAACUAAACGACAAAUCCUCACCGCCUAAAAUGAAAUAAUAAUACUAUAAAUUCAGAUUUAAUUACUUAGAAAUUAUUUUAAAUUAUUAUUUUGUGCUUCAAAUUUAUUUUAUGCAUAGACAUCAUAUUACACAAAUUCAAUUUCAACCACACGCUCUCAUUCGGGAUAAAUUAGGAAUAUUGUUUUAGAUAUGACAAAUUCGGAUAGUUAAGUGGGGUUCAUAGACUUUGGGCAAUUGCCCAAAUGGUCUUGGAGAGAUCAAUUGGCUACCAAGAUGUGUGAAGUUUCAGGUUCGAAUAUAUGAAGAGGCGUUGACCUGCGUUGUAAUCUAAUUACUAACAUAUUAACUAUUAUCUUGUGCAUAAAAAAAAAGAAAAAGAAAAAAAAAAAGGGUGGGGUUCAUAGAAUUAUUGAAAAUGAAAUCGUUACUAAGUGUUAGUUGAGCUUAAUCAAUCUCGAGUAAUGCUAUACAAACAAAAAAAUUCAUAUAUAAUAAUUUUGUUUUAGACUUUUCACUUUAAAACAAAACACCAUUGAAGAUGAGUUUCUUUACAAUAUCAUUCUUAUCAAAUUUUUUGUAUAAAUUUUAUACAUGAAUAUAAUUUUCCAUCUCUAUUAAUAAUUUCCUUUGACAGAAGCUCAAUGACUAAAAUUAUUAACAAAUUAAUAACUAAACAAUCCUGUUAGUGUCUUCUUAUUAUAACUAUGAAACCCAGACUUACAAUCCCAAUUUGGGGUCAAGAAUGGAAUGUUUGAUGAAGAUUGAAAAUGUGUAUUAUUAGAGUUAUAUAUAGAAUGAAUCUGAAUCACAUAUUUGUGUUUUUGGGUAAUUUCUAAAUUUGUAAUGUUGCUGCCAUAAAAAAUGCUACAUGUUAUCAUUUUUUUAUUAUUAAUGUCUAUUUGGUUUCUUUUAAUUGGUAUAAUCAUUAAAAAAAAAUAAUGAAGACAAAUAAGAUAUUAUCAUGAAAUUCCGUAAUAUAAAAUGACAAAAAAUCUGAUGAUAUGUAAUGAAUUUUUUUUUUUUUUUUUUUUUUUUAUAGUUGGUGGAACAAAAGUUAAUCUACAAUUUAGCUUAUUUUGAGACUUUUGUUGUGAAUUUUCACGCUUUGGUAGCUUUAUUGAAGUCUGUUUUGACCUCUCUUAUUUAGUUUCUUAGUGAGUAGAGAUAAUAUAAAGUUGUAAAAUUAUUUCAUCUCAUCACUCUCUCCCCUAUCCCUUUGAUGCCAAGUUGUCAAUAUAGGCUUGAUUUUAGAAGUGGGUUGGCUUUUUAUUUUAUUUUUUUCGACCUUUUUUGAUUUUUUUUUUUGUGAAAAAAAGAAUGUAAUGAUUAUAGAUUAGAUGUGAUAUUUUGUCUUAUUGGACUAAAAAGCUUAUUUUAUUUUUUUUAUGACUAUUUUAGCCAAAAAAUCCUCAAACACAACUUUUUAAACAUAGGCUGGCUUGGUUUGGUAAGUGAGUUGACUUUUUUGCUUUUUUAAUUAUUUUAGUCUGCGGUUAAAAAUUUUGGUGUGGGGAGGGUUUUUGACUUU